Molecule: ribosomal RNA, 392 nt
Filed under: uncultured bacterium
Lineage: Bacteria
Description: partial 16S ribosomal RNA
Rfam family: Bacterial small subunit ribosomal RNA
Source: RNAcentral
AUACGGAGGAUCCGAGCGUUAUCCGGAUUUAUUGGGUUUAAAGGGUGCGCAGGCGGCCAUUUAAGUCAGCGGUUAAAUCGUGGGGCUCAACCCCAUUCUGCCGUUGAUACUGGGUGGCUUGAUUGCGGUCGAGGUUGGCGGAAUUCGUUGUGUAGCGGUGAAAUGCAUAGAUAUGACGAAGAACACCGAUUGCGUGGGCAGCUGACCAGACCGCAAAUGACGCUCAUGCACGAAAGUGCGGGGAUCGAACAGGAUUAGAUACCCUGGUAGUCCGCACAGUAAACGAUGAAUACUUGUUUUCGGCGAUAUAAUGUCGGAGGCAAAGCGAAAGCGAUAAGUAUUCCACCUGGGGAGUACGCCGGCAACGGUGAAACUCAAAUGAAUUGGCGGGG